This 1006-nucleotide ribosomal RNA is filed under the name uncultured Thermotoga sp. RNAcentral's name for it is "bacterial SSU rRNA". It matches the Rfam family "Bacterial small subunit ribosomal RNA", at positions 8 to 918 of the family's 1533-position model. Lineage: Bacteria; Thermotogati; Thermotogota; Thermotogae; Thermotogales; Thermotogaceae. The record is from RNAcentral.
AGAGUUUGAUCCUGGCUCAGGACGAACGCUGGCGGCGUGCUUAACACAUGCAAGUCGAACGCUCCUGGAGGUUGGGAGUUAGAGGUUAGAAGUUAGAUUAAGAAGGAAUUCGCCGAAGGCGAAUUCUCACACAAUCUAACAUCUAAUUUCCAACUUCCAACCUCUAAGGGGAGUGGCGGACGGGUGAGUAACGCGUGGGCAAUCUGCCCGUAAGAGGGGGAUAACAUCGGGAAACCGGUGCUAAUACCGCAUAAUAUCUGUAUACCGCAUGGUAGGCAGAUGAAAGGAGCGUUUGCUCCGCCGAGGGAUGAGCCCGCGGCCCAUCAGGUAGUUGGUGGGGUAAUGGCCCACCAAGCCUACGACGGGUAGCCGGCCUGAGAGGGUGGUCGGCCACAAGGGCACUGAGACACGGGCCCUACUCCUACGGGAGGCAGCAGUGGGGAAUCUUGGACAAUGGGCGAAAGCCUGAUCCAGCGACGCCGCGUGGGGGAUGAAGCCCUUCGGGGUGUAAACCCCUGUUGCGAGGGAGGAAUAAGGCCUGGAGGAAAUGCCAGGCCGAUGACUGUACCUCGCGAGGAAGCCCCGGCUAACUACGUGCCAGCAGCCGCGGUAAUACGUAGGGGGCGAGCGUUACCCGGAUUCACUGGGCGUAAAGCGGGUGUAGGCGGCUCGGUAAGUCGGGUGUGAAAUCCCACAGCUCAACUGUGGAAUUGCGCCCGAAACUGCUGAGCUUGGGGCCGGUAGAGGGAGACGGAACUGCCGGUGUAGGGGUGAAAUCCGUAGAUAUCGGCAGGAACGCCGGUGGGGAAGCCGGUCUCCUGGGCCGCGCCCGACGCUGAGACCCGAAAGCUAGGGGAGCAAACCGGAUUAGAUACCCGGGUAGUCCUAGCCGUAAACGAUGCCCACUAGGUGUGGGGGAUUAAUUCCUCCGUGCUGUAGCUAACGCGUUAAGUGGGCCGCCUGGGGAGUACGCCCGCAAGGGUGAAACUCAAAGGAAUUGACGGGG